RNAcentral lists this long non-coding RNA (3478 nucleotides) under Strigops habroptila (Kakapo). Its description in RNAcentral is "lncRNA (ENSSHBG00005012774.1)". The record is from RNAcentral. Lineage: Eukaryota; Metazoa; Chordata; Aves; Psittaciformes; Psittacidae.
GGGUUGGGUUGGAGAUGGUUUUGAGCCUUCCUCAGUAGCAGUGGCAGAGGUUGAGCCAUCAAUGUUCAGGGGCCCCAGGAGAGGACUUGCUUUUGAUGCUGGGUACACCAUUUUGGCUGCUUGUGUGACAGGUUCAUGCAUUCCUGCAUAGCCUGUAUCAUCUGUCUAGGGAGUGUGACUGAGUUCCAUGUCCAUGCACUGUAGAGUAACUUGGGUGUGAGGUGUCCAUUACAGGAAAGGAUCUGGCCCCUGGGCCUCCAACAGCCCUACUGCGGUCAUGGCCAAAAGGGUAUGAAAGUGAAGUAGUCUUUAUUCCCCUCCUAAUGGUGCUUUCAGGACACCAAGCAGUCCUUGGUGCACCUUGUGGAAAAACUGACAUUGAAGCUGCAGGGUUGCUUUUCUCUGACCAAUGGGGUUGUGAAUCUGGCACGUUUUUAUCAGCACUAGGUGAAGAUAGAACAGCCAAAGGCAGGAAAGGGUAUCAACAUUAGGGUUCUAUAGAACUUUGGGAGGGGUUUGUCCUUGAGACUUAGUGAUUCCUGCGUGGAGUAGCAAAGAUAGUAGUCAGGGACACUUAAUUUCCAUGGGUCACUCCUGUCCAAGGUGCAGCAUGGGUUAAUUUACUGUGUCCUCCACUAGAGGAGUCCCUUCUAUGCUUGUCUGGGGAGAAUAUCAGAUAUGGAGCCACACUGUUGCACUGAAGUUGGUAGCACUUGCAGGACAGGGUGCUUAGAGCCAAUGCAGAGAUACGGUCCCCUGCAGCCCAGACACCUGCUGUUGACCCACUGCUUGCUUUCUGUAGUAGGCCCUGGCAUGGCUCCUCACACUAUGCAAGAGCUGCAGGCUCAAAUGCCUUGACAUCUGGCAAAUUCCCAACAGGUACAAAUCUUUCCUACAUCUAAGGAAUCUAUGGGAUCUAUUCCAGCCACAUAUUUGUCUCACUGAAUCCCAAGGGCAGGCAAAUGAAUUGUGAUUGCUGGUUCUGAGCAGGCAGUGUAGGGUUGGGGAUACGAUUUGUUGUGACGAGCACUGAUUUCUGCACUUGAUCUGGUUUUUUCAACUAUUGAGAUGUGUGUGUGUGUGUGUGUGUGCGCAUGAUUUAUUACCCAGAAAGGCUUUGCCUUUGGCUUUUAUACCUGCAAAGCCUCCUAGCUGGGUCAAGAUUAGCCUGAAGGAAACAGUGCUAUGCUGCUGGAGGAACAAGGUGGGCCAGACAACAGCGUCUCUGGAAACAGCUUUCUUAAUAGGUGCUUUGCUGUGUCUUGUGUUUUGUGAACAAAUUUGAAAUUCAUGGCCCUGUUGACAAAUAAAUUACAAAGGGGAAGGGAAGUAAGUUUUGAGUGCAGGAGAAGAAAUCAUAGGAAAGCCUUGAGGAGGUCAUCUAGUCCACCCUUUCCCAUCGCUCUAGGCCUCUGGGUUUACAUCCAAUCCAGAUUAGAAAUUAAUGACUUCAUUUCCUUUGUUGUAUUUUGCUAACAACAAAUUUGCCUCAGGGGAGUGGCAAGUGGGGAUGGUCCCCACUUACACCUCACCAUAGCCCUUCCCAUGCACAGCAGCUCAUCUCAACACAAAGCAAGCUGAUGCCGGGAAAUGGACCAGUGGAAAACCAAUCCUACCGAAAAAAUGCCAGUAAUUUUGUGCUGGUUUUAACUUUCAGCCAGCAAACUUGGACGACACUGCUGCCUACAGGGAAGGGCCGGAGUGGAGGCCAGCAGCAGCUCCUCCUUGCACAGCAGCUGCUUGCUCAACUAGCUUAGCUGCACUGGUGGACUGCUCCCUCCAUGGUCUCCAUGGCUUUGGUUGUGGGUCUCCUCCCAGUUUGGGGAAAGGCUUGAGUGGGAGCAGUGCUUUUUCUCACAGCCUGAUUUGCAUUGCUUUUAUGGUCGGUAAAGCAGAAUAAGCCACUGAGUGUGGACCUGGCUGGAUGGUAUCUAUGGGCUCCUGUGCAGGAAGGGUAGUAAACCACAGGGGUUCAGAGUUCCUUUCUGGGCUAAAACUGAGAGGAAUUGCUGCUAAUAGCAAACCUGCUCUGCUGCUACCUAGAGUUAUACAGGGGAUAAAGAAAAGGGAUCACGCAGGCAUUUCGUUCUCUGAGGGUUUGAAAAUAGGUGGUAUGUCCUAGUCUUGUGAAAGCAGGGUGAAAACAGUAAUGCUGCCUAGUUCAGGGUCACGGAGAGGAGGUGCCCACAUGGCUCUUCUGAGGUGUUUCUGGUCAUAUGCCUUCUCCUCCCUGGUCCAGCAGAAGUGAAACUUCUUCUGGAGCAACUGUGUGACAGUGGUGGUGUUUUUACAUAUUCUCAUGUUACCCCUCAGGUGAAGCCACUCAUGUCCCUGUGUGGCCCUGCGCUCAGACCUGGAGCUGACCUCCUGGUUACUAUGAUGGGUUGAUUGAGCAGGGAAACGCCAUACAGAUGAUUGCUGCUGUGAGGAUGCACCCUUGUGUCACAAGGGGCUCACCAACACUGGAGCUUCCUUCAUCCCUGUCUCCAUCCUCCUCCUCUUCCUCUGACCACCUUAUUUCUUUCCCAAAUCCCUGGACUUCAUCUUUGUGCCUAAGGCACCGGGCUGCCUACCUGAGCAGACUCCACAUGCCAUGCAGUCUGCUGCACCUCAACUGGGCCAGGACUGAAAAGUGGCUGCUGAUGCCCUCCUGAAAACCCUGCCAUUGAUCUAGGGGAUACCAGGGCUGGGUCGGGAAAGAGUAGAAGUGCUGCUGUGAUACAUGCUCAGCGCAGCUUCUUGGGGCCUUCUCCUGGAGCUCACUGCUUGGAGCACGCCUCCUUCCAUCCUGGCAUUCCUCUAAGGAGGCAUGGCUGGGAGGCGUGUACCAGUGGCGGGGUUUGGUGACGAGCUGACCACCAAAAGUUGAACACAUCAAGAUCCUGAAGGGACCGAGGUCCUAAUCGUCUCCCCAAGAAACCUCUGGUCCUGAGACAGUAUUUUUGCAGACCGUGCAACCUGGAUCUGUAGAGGACAACUCCUGAAAAUUCGUCCCAAUGUGCCUUAAGCUAUUCCUUUUUGGGAUUCAUCCUGAAGGAACCUGAGGUGCAGAGGCAGCCUCUUUGCUGUCUGCUAGUCUGUGGUUGCUCUUAGCAGCCAAUAUCCACUGGCAGGAUUUGCUUGGUGCCCUCCAGAGCAGAAGGGGAGGAUGGAGAGACGUGCCUUAACCUUGUAUUUAUGCCUAACAGUUUGUGUAAGAAGGCAAGGACAGGUUCCUCAUGUGCCUUGCAAUUUACAUCUUUUACUGACAUUAUUUUUAAACACUGUUACUAAAGAGAAGUACAAAAGAGUUUGUAUUUUUUCCCUGGGAAACAGGGAAGGGUACGAGUGUUAUGUAUUAACCAUCCCCUUCCUAACUCCCAUCUGCUGACUUUGUACUGUGUAAAACACUGACAAUAUUUUAAGCUUUGUACUGUACUGAUCGUUAUUUAAAAAUCUUAGUGGGGAAAAAAAAAAAGAACCAUCUGUAAAAGCAAAA